CCUACGGGUGGCAGCAGUGGGGAAUAUUGCACAAUGGGCGAAACCCUGAUCCAGCGACGCCGCGUGAGUGAAGAAGUAUUUCGGUACGUAAAGCUCUAUCAGCAGGAAAGAAAAUGACGGUACCGUACUAAGAAGCACCGGCUAACUACGUGCCAGCACCCGCGGUGAUGCGUAGGGGGCAAGCGUUAUCCGGAUUUGCUGGGUGGAAAGGGAGCGGAGACGGCGGCGCAAGUCUGGAGUGAAAUGCCGGGGCCAAACCCCGGAACUGCUCUGGAAACUGGGACGCUGGAGUGCAGGAGAGGUAAGCGGAAUUCCUGGUGUAGCGGUGGAAUGCGUAGAUAUCAGGAGGAACACCGGCGGCGAAGGCGGCUUACUGGACUGUAACUGACGUUGAGGCGCGAAGGCGUGGGGAGCAAACAGGAUUAGAUACCCCUGUAGUC
This 440-nucleotide ribosomal RNA is filed under the name uncultured bacterium. Its description in RNAcentral is "partial 16S ribosomal RNA". It matches the Rfam family "Bacterial small subunit ribosomal RNA", at positions 338 to 795 of the family's 1533-position model. The record is from RNAcentral.